GACGAACGCUGGCGGCGUGCUUAACACAUGCAAGUCGAGCGAUGAAGCCUCUUCGGAAGUGGAUUAGCGGCGGACGGGUGAGUAACACGUGGGUAACCUGCCUCAUAGAGGGGAAUAGCCUUCCGAAAGGAAGAUUAAUACCGCAUAAGAUUGUAAUAUCGCAUGAUAUAGCAAUUAAAGGAGUAAUCCGCUAUGAGAUGGACCCGCGUCGCAUUAGCUAGUUGGUGAGGUAACGGCUCACCAAGGCGACGAUGCGUAGCCGACCUGAGAGGUUGAUCGGCCACAUUGGGACUGAGACACGGCCCAGACUCCUACGGGAGGCAGCAGUGGGGAAUAUUGCACAAUGGGGGAAACCCUGAUGCAGCAACGCCGCGUGAGUGAUGACGGUCUUCGGAUUGUAAAGCUCUGUCUUCAGGGACGAUAAUGACGGUACCUGAGGAGGAAGCCACGGCUAAUUACGUGCCAGCCGCCGCGGUAA
Molecule: ribosomal RNA, 478 nt
Filed under: uncultured bacterium
Lineage: Bacteria
Description: partial 16S ribosomal RNA
Rfam family: Bacterial small subunit ribosomal RNA
Source: RNAcentral